This 492-nucleotide ribosomal RNA is filed under the name uncultured bacterium. Its description in RNAcentral is "partial 16S ribosomal RNA". It matches the Rfam family "Bacterial small subunit ribosomal RNA", at positions 30 to 507 of the family's 1533-position model. The record is from RNAcentral.
AUUGAACGCUGGCGGCAUGCUUUACAUAUGCAAGUCGAACGGUAACAGGCCUUCGGGUGCUGACGAGUGGCGAACGGGUGAGUAAUGCAUCGGAACGUGCCCAGAGGUGGGGGAUAACGCAGCGAAAGCUGUGCUAAUACCGCAUGUGAUCUGAGGAUGAAAGCGGGGGACCAAGCAGCAAUGUUUGGCCUCGCGCCUCUGGAGCGGCCGAUGUCAGAUUAGGUAGUUGGUGGGGUAAAGGCCUACUAAGCCGACGAUCUGUAGCUGGUCUGAGAGGACGACCAGCCACACUGGGACUGAGACACGGCCCAGACUCCUACGGGAGGCAGCAGUGGGGAAUUUUGGACAAUGGGCGCAAGCCUGAUCCAGCAAUGCCGCGUGCGGGAAGAAGGCCUUCGGGUUGUAAACCGCUUUUGUACGGAACGAAAAGGCUCUGGCUAAUACCUGGGGCUGAUGACGGUACCGGAAGAAUAAGCACCGGCUAACUACGUG